UGGGUAGCUGGUCUGAGAGGAUGACCAGCCACACUGGAACUGAGACACGGUCCAGACUCCUACGGGAGGCAGCAGUCGGGAAUCUUGGACAAUGGGGGAAACCCUGAUCCAGCCACGCCGCGUGGGUGAUGGAGGCCUUCGGGUUGUAAAGCCCUGUCAGAAGGGAAGAAAUGGUCUUGACCUAAUACGUCCGGGCCUUGACGGUACCUUCAGAGGAAGCACCGGCUAACUACGUGCCAGCAGCCGCGGUAAGACGUAGGGUGCGAGCGUUGUCCGGAAUCACUGGGCGUAAAGGGCGCGUAGGCGGCUUGGUAAGCGUGCGGUGAAAGCUCGGGGCUCAACCCCGAGUCUGCCGUGCGAACUGCCGAGCUGGAGCACGGUAGAGGCACAUGGAAUUCCGGGUGUAGCGGUGGAAUGCGUAGAGAUCCGGAAGAACACCGGUGGCGAAGGCGGCCUGCUGGGCAGUAGCUGACGCUGAUGCGCGACAGCGUGGGGAGCAAACAGGAUUAGAUACCCUGGUAGUCCACGCCGUAAACGAUGGGCACUAGGUGCUUGGGGGAGCGACCCUCUGAGUGCCGGCGCUAACGCAUUAAGUGCCCCGCCUGGGGAGUACGGCCGCAAGGCUG
This 626-nucleotide ribosomal RNA is filed under the name uncultured bacterium. RNAcentral describes it as "bacterial SSU rRNA". It matches the Rfam family "Bacterial small subunit ribosomal RNA", at positions 280 to 896 of the family's 1533-position model. The record is from RNAcentral.